UGAGUCGGUUAGACAGUCGCUCUUAUAAGGGAGGAAAGUCCGGGCUCCAUAGGGCAAAGUGCCAGGUAAUACCUGGGAGGCGUGAGUCUACGGAAAGUGCCACAGAAAAUAUACCGCCUAUUUUUAGGUAAGGGUGAAAUGGUGCGGUAAGAGCGCACCGCGCGUUUGGUAACAAACGUGGCAGGGAAAACCCCACUUGGAGCAAGACCAAAUAGAGAUCUACGUAGCGAUUAAGCUAUAACGUAUGGCCCAUACGAGAUCAGGGUAGGUUGCUUGAGGCAAACGGUGACGUUUGUCCCAGAUAAAUGAUUGUCCACGACAGAACCCGGCUUAUCGACCGACUUAUUAC
RNAcentral lists this RNase P RNA (349 nucleotides) under Legionellales bacterium RIFCSPHIGHO2_12_FULL_35_11. RNAcentral describes it as "RNase P RNA component class A". It matches the Rfam family "Bacterial RNase P class A". From Rfam's summary of the family: Ribonuclease P (RNase P) is a ubiquitous endoribonuclease, found in archaea, bacteria and eukarya as well as chloroplasts and mitochondria. Its best characterised activity is the generation of mature 5'-ends of tRNAs by cleaving the 5'-leader elements of precursor-tRNAs. The record is from RNAcentral. Lineage: Bacteria; Pseudomonadati; Pseudomonadota; Gammaproteobacteria; Legionellales.